CGUCAAUUUGACAGUUGACAGUUUAUUUAUCGCAGUCGACGCUGAUUGGUUCGCGUUUAGCAGAUGCGAAAAGGGGAUGAUUAAAUAAAACGCAUGGUUCCGUGCAGGCUCACCUUUCUCCCAGUGAGCCUGUUCGCAGGCUAUGUCAAUGCUAAUUAGAGCUUUUGCGGCAAAAUAUUCGGCAGCUCUAAUAUUUUUUCCUACAGUAUCUCUACAGUAUCUCCGUUGCGUGUUCCAAAAUUUUAAAAAAUGGCAGAAUCGGUAAGAUCCCCAUAAAAAUCUUAAAUAAAUAGAUUAAAUGAACUUCAGCUCGCGAUCAGCCGAACUUUCCAUUUUG
Paramuricea clavata is the source of this 337-nucleotide non-coding RNA. The record is from the annotation of a GenBank genome assembly. NCBI's taxonomy places the organism in Eukaryota, Metazoa, Cnidaria, Anthozoa, Malacalcyonacea, Plexauridae.